RNA transcript from Physcomitrium patens, 801 nucleotides. RefSeq lists it as uncharacterized. The record is from RefSeq and is a predicted model, not a curated record. NCBI's taxonomy places the organism in Eukaryota, Viridiplantae, Streptophyta, Bryopsida, Funariales, Funariaceae.
UUCGUGAUUCUCUGUUCGCUUUGUGAGAAUAAGAGUGUUGACAUUUCGCGUUAGAGUUCUUGAAUCCGCAGCUCGCUUAAAGUGCAAAUUUAGCGCGUUUGCGGCGGUCUGAGAUUCUACGUACGUAAUUUGCACCUGUAUGCACGAGGUUCCGUUCAUCUGAAUUGGGGAAUCACGUUUUCUUCUAUUCCAAAGGCAGUUUUAUUGCAAACGCACAACCAAGUGGCGCAGUUUCUGGAGCUUGCCAUUCUGCGAUAAGUUCAGGUGUGGGGAGCUUUGGAGUAAACAAUGCUCUUGUAUAAAAAUGGAAGGUGUCGGUAAUGCUUCGAGCAAUACUAGUCGUGCAGGAUCUUCAGGAAUCGAGCAAAGUGAGUGUUCGAACAUCAAGUUGGAUGCAAUUUAUAUCAUAUGUUCACAGUAUCUCUUUGCAGCAGGAUACAAGGAUGUACGAGGAAGCUUUGUGUGCGGCUAGGAAUGCUUCGGAUGCAAGGCACUUCUACCCAGAAUCAGAUUCUGAGUCGCCAGUGAAACGCAUGUCCGUCAUAAUUCCCUGCCUCUCAGUAACUUGACCUGGUCAGUAACGGUUCUGUUCAUUUUGCACCUCUUACAGCGUCUCGCCCAAAUUGCACGUUUUGUAUAGAAAUAAAUUCACAGAGGGUGGAUGUUUGAACUGGAAUAUUUAAUACUUUUGUCGCUCUUAGGUUACAGGUAUUGGGUUAUCUGAGAAGCCCCAGGUUUUUUUUGUACGUAGCAGCAAUUAAGUGCUGUUAUGUGGUCAAUCAACUGAAUAUAUUCAGUCAA